This is a long non-coding RNA of Cercocebus atys (sooty mangabey), 1648 nucleotides long. RefSeq lists it as uncharacterized. The record is from RefSeq and is a predicted model, not a curated record. The transcript is spliced from 3 exons. Lineage: Eukaryota; Metazoa; Chordata; Mammalia; Primates; Cercopithecidae.
GCAAACCAAGGGGACCCUCCCCUCCCUCCCGCUCCUCCCACACUGCACGGCGAGUUCCAGCCGGGGCAGUAAGGCAAUAACACGGACCUCAAAUCACCGGGAUUAGCAAAAAAGACGUACAACUACGCCUCACACAGUAGGUGGACUCGUCUGAGGAAUCCACAAAGAUAAAAUGAAACGAAGUAAAACCUGAUAAGAUGAACGAAGGAGUUUAACAAGGCCAUGGGGUGUAGGAUCAAACACAGAGGGGCGGUAUUUCUGCACUGACAGGGAACACCCCAAGAUGAAAUGCAGAAAGUGUCCCGGUCAAAUAGCAUCAUCAGAAAGAAUAAGCUACUUAGGAAUAAUUUCACAAGGGAAGUGUGAGACUGGUACACUGCAAACUGCAAAACAUGGUUGGUAAAAAGACCCAAAGAAAACCUGAACAGAUGGAGAGAUUUCCCACACCGAGGCCGGAAGGCCGAACCCUGCGCAGACAGCGGGGCUCCCGCGGUGCUCCCCAUGGCCUUCGUCCCCCUCUGGCCAAGUUCCCUCCCCGGCUCACAGCCCCUCCUCCUGGUUACCACCCUCCGCCCUCCCUCUGCAAGUGCAGGAGGCCCAAGCCACCGGCCGGUGAGCUGGGGAUCCAGCCUCUCCUGGCGUUUUACCCGCAUAGAUUACAGCUGACGGCACUGGAGCGAGGGGCUGACUCUGCCUGAGGGAGGCUUGGACCCUGGGCUGGAGGGGGCCAGGGACCCAGACCCACACUUGAUUUAGAAGGACACGGGGCUGUCAAACCUAUGCGGGGUCAUCACAACCGGCCCUUGGUUCGUCCCUUUUCGACCAAGCUCAGGACACUGUAACCCAGGAAGAUGAGCUCAUGGUUCUGAGAUGACCCAGGGAAUCGGACAAUCCCAGCCGAACCCCUUGUUCCUUCCUCUCAUCAUUGACGCUCCUCCCAGAUGACUUCGAGAGCCCUGCAGAUCCUUCUGCUACUCCCCAGCCCAGAAGACCCAGGGACAGAAGCCCUCGAGGUUCUGGCUGGGCCCACGCGCUGAGAUGCCUCUGAGAAAGCUGUCUUUCCGUGGUGGAUCCCGCUGGACGCCCGUGAACACGGGGCCAAUUUGCAGAGGUCUGGAAGGAGGCCUCUGCACGGCACCCAGGCCUGACACAGAUAUCAUUUCUGAUUGUGGAAUUUUACUCUCAAACCAAAAGAUGCUACACACCGCUCCUGACGCCGUGGCAUGGAAUGACAUGAUGCGUCCCGUGUUUCCAUAUUUCUCUUCUGUGGCUUAUUGGUGCCACUCAAGCACCGCACAACAAUGACGUCUGUCCUAGCAGGGCACACGCACUCUGUGUCUGAACGAGUAUUGAGCUGAUUCCAAAGGCCAGCAGAGACAUGGGCCGUGCAUUUAUCUGGAGGAGACCAGGUGUGCCGUGGUUGGCUCUGGCUGCAGGACACUGGGCUGAGCACUGACCCAGGCCACCCCAAGUCACCAAAAGAGGGUAGGGAGGGGUGGACAAAAGUAUUUAUUUUGCUUAUUUUCUUGCCAGUGUCCAGAUUCAAAGGUACUGCUUUUAAACUAUAUUAGCACUUUCUGCCCUGCGGCCUACAAUGACCGUGCUGUGAUUAUUAAACACUUCAUAAUAAUAAUGCAGUAUUUCCCCA